GCUGACUCUCUUUUCAGACUCAGCCCACUUGCACCCAAGUGAAUUAACAGCCUUGUUGCUCACACAAAGCCUGUUUAGGUGGUCUUCUAUACGGACAUGCUUGACACUUGGUGCCAAAAUCUGGGCCAGGGGGACUCCUUCGUGAGACCGGCCCCCUGUCCUGGCCCUCAUUCCGUGAAGAGAUCCACCUGCGACCUCGGGUCCUCAGACCAGCCCAAGGAACAUCUCACCAAUUUCAAAUCGGAUCUCCUCGGCUUAGUGGCUGAAGACUGAUGCUGCCCGAUCGCCUCAGAAGCCCCUUGGACCAUCACAGAUGCCGAGCUUCGGGUAACUCUUACGGUGGAGGAUUCCCAGCCAUAUGAAGACACCCUAGCUGGACGAUCAGUCCUUGUCAAAAGUCUGACCCCUCAAACUCUACAGCCUCAAUGGACCAGACCCUACCCGGUCAUUUAUAGCACACCAACUGCCGUCCAUCUGCAGGACCCUCUCCAUUGGGUUCACCAUUCCAGAAUAAAGCCAUGCCCAUCAGACAGCCAGCUUGAUCUCUCCUCUUCCUCCUGGAAGCCACAAGAUUAGGCCGAGAGCCGAUCAGACAAACAACCUACAACCCUUAAGCUCCUGGCAGCGCCCAGCCAAGGCCAUGCUUCCUUGCAACACUCCUUCCAAAUGGCCAUCCCAGCAUGCUUCCAAGCAGGCUUCAUCCGUUCCUCUGGACCCUCAUCUCUUAAGACCUGCCGCCUAUAAAAAGGAUUAUAUCUUGAGACCCUAUCCUCUAAAAUUUUUUCCACACCCAAAACAAAAAAUCUCUGGGUCAAAAGUCUAAAACGCUUAGGCUGGCAACCAUCAGAUCCUUGCCCAUGGUGUCCUCAAGCCUACUCUCAUGAAAUGGACAACAGUACACGCAUAUGGGGCCAGUUCCACAUAUUUGGCAACCAGACCAGCAUCCAGGACAACACAAAGAUCUGCAAUCAGAACUAUUGAACUUCUCCAUUCAGACCGCCACUCACACCUAUGGGAAAAGGGUGUCCACGCAGUCCCUGGUCACACUUGAAGCAGUCCGGAGAAAUAUCAGCCCUACCCCAGUAAUCCCCAGAAGGAACUUACACUUUUUUUUAAUCUUUUCCUACAACUUCAUAUUUUAUAAAUAAAAAGACAAAAAUGUCAGGCCUGUGAGCUGAAGCUUAGCCAUUGUAACCCCUGUGACCUGCACAUAUCCGUCCAGGUGGCCUGCAGGAGCCAAGAAGUCUGGAGCAGCCGAAAAACCACAAAGAAGUGAAACAGCCAGUUCCUGCCUUAACUAAUUAACCCACCUUACGACAUUCCACCAUUAUGACUUGUCCACCAUUAUGACUUGUUCCUGCCCUGCCCCAACUGAUCAAUCAACCCUGUGACAUUCUUCUCCUGGACAAUGAGUCCCAUCAUCUCUCCACCAUGCACCUUGUGACCCCCUCCUCUGCUGAGGAUAACCACCUUUAACUGUAACUUUCCACGCCUACCCAAGCCCUAUAAAGCUGCCCCUCUCCUAUCUCCCUUCACUGACUCUCUUUUCGGACUCAGCCCACUUGCACCCAAGUGAAUUAACAGCCUUGUUGCUCACACAAAGCCUGAUUGGGUGUCUUCUAUACGGACACGCGUGACAGGAACCUCAACCCAAAGGCAGUCUGAUGAGGUGUCUAAGAUAAAAGUAGCGGCACAAAGGCUUUUGUAAACAGAGGCGUUUCAUGUGGUUUUCCUUUCCUUUCCUUAUAUGUGAAAAGGUGACAGAAAAGAAAUCUUCCUAAAAGAGUCA
Homo sapiens (human) is the source of this 1789-nucleotide long non-coding RNA. Ensembl annotates it as urothelial cancer associated 1. Its record names the gene UCA1. The record is from Ensembl. NCBI's taxonomy places the organism in Eukaryota, Metazoa, Chordata, Mammalia, Primates, Hominidae.